This 253-nucleotide ribosomal RNA is filed under the name uncultured bacterium. RNAcentral describes it as "partial 16S ribosomal RNA". It matches the Rfam family "Bacterial small subunit ribosomal RNA", at positions 524 to 776 of the family's 1533-position model. The record is from RNAcentral.
UACGGAGGGGACUAGUGUUACUCGUCAUAAUUGGGCGUAAAGGGUAUGUAGGUGGUUUUUUAAGUUAGAAGAAAAAGGUUUGAUGAAAAAAUCAUACAAAACAUUUAAUACUGGGAAGCUAGAGUUUAAUGGAGGAUUAUGGUACUUAUAUUGUAGAGGUGCAAUUCUUGAAUAAUAUAAGGACCCUCAAAGGCGAAAGCAAUUUUCUAUGUUAAACUGACACUGAGAUACGAAAGCAUAGGGAGCAAACAGG